This 405-nucleotide ribosomal RNA is filed under the name uncultured bacterium. RNAcentral describes it as "bacterial SSU rRNA". It matches the Rfam family "Bacterial small subunit ribosomal RNA", at positions 355 to 776 of the family's 1533-position model. The record is from RNAcentral.
UGGGGGAUAUUGCACAAUGGGGGGAACCCUGAUGCAGCGACGCCGCGUGGGCGAGGGAGCGCCUCGGCGCGUAAAGCCCUUUCGGCGGGGGAGAACGAUGACGGUACCCGACGAAGAAGCACCGGCUAAAUACGUGCCAGCAGCCGCGGUAAUACGUAUGGUGCGAGCGUUGUCCGGAUUUACUGGGCGUGAAGGGGGCGCAGGCGGCGCGCCAAGCCCGAUGUGAAAGCCCGGGGCUCAACCCCGGGACUGCAUUGGGAACUGGCGGGCUGGAGUGCCGGAGGGGCAGGCGGAAUUCCUGGUGUAGCGGUGAAAUGCGUAGAUAUCAGGAGGAACACCGGUGGCGAAGGCGGCCUGCUGGACGGAUACUGACGCUGAGGCCCGAAAGCGUGGGGAGCGAACAGG